RNAcentral lists this non-coding RNA (100 nucleotides) under Foraminifera environmental sample. The record is from RNAcentral. Lineage: Eukaryota; Foraminifera.
AACAGGAAAAAGGAUAUCUCGACCGAUUGAAGGAGAAAGCAAAUAGUUGGUUCAAUUGAGCAUCUCUUGUUUAAUUUCUUUUCUUUUAAUUUGUUUGUUU